AUGGAGAAUACAAGUAGAGUACGAUUUUCCAAACUUGGUCUAAUAAUCUUGAUGAUAUUCUUCACUUUUUUCACAAAUCUUGAAGCUAGAAGACUUGAAGGUGGAAGACAUCAUAUAGAUAGCCAACGUCUGUUGCAUGAGUUAAUGACAGAUAGAAUAAAGCAAAGACGUAGUUCUCGAAGUGCUCUUGAAGAUAAAGCCUCACCAGGUGGAGAUAGGCUUUCGCCAGCUGGACCAAACCAUACACAUAAUAAUCAGGUCCAUCGCUGA
Molecule: non-coding RNA, 270 nt
Organism: Vicia faba (fava bean)
Lineage: Eukaryota; Viridiplantae; Streptophyta; Magnoliopsida; Fabales; Fabaceae
Source: the annotation of a GenBank genome assembly